UGGGGAAUCUUGCGCAAUGGGCGAAAGCCUGACGCAGCCAUGCCGCGUGGAUGAUGAAGGUCUUAGGAUUGUAAAAUCCUUUCAGCGGGGACGAUAAUGACGGUACCCGCAGAAGAAGCCCCGGCUAACUUCGUGCCAGCAGCCGCGGUAAUACGAAGGGGGCUAGCGUUGCUCGGAAUUACUGGGCGUAAAGGGCGCGUAGGCGGAUAGUUUAGUUGGGGGUGAAAGCCCGGGGCUCAACCUCGGAAUUGCCUUCAAUACUGGCUAUCUUGAGUGUGAGAGAGGUGUGUGGAACUCCGAGUGUAGAGGUGAAAUUCGUAGAUAUUCGGAAGAACACCAGUGGCGAAGGCGACACACUGGCUCACUACUGACGCUGAGGCGCGAAAGCGUGGGGAGCAAACAGG
This 404-nucleotide ribosomal RNA is filed under the name uncultured bacterium. Its description in RNAcentral is "bacterial SSU rRNA". It matches the Rfam family "Bacterial small subunit ribosomal RNA", at positions 355 to 776 of the family's 1533-position model. The record is from RNAcentral.